UGGGGGGAUAUUGCACAAUGGAGGAAACUCUGAUGCAGCGAUGCCGCGUGAGGGAAGAAGGUUUUCGGAUUGUAAACCUCUGUGGAGGGGGACGACAAUGACGGUACCCCUUUAGGAAGCCACGGCUAACUACGUGCCAGCAGCCGCGGUAAUACGUAGGUGGCGAGCGUUGUCCGGAAUUACUGGGUGUAAAGGGAGCGUAGGCGGGAAGGCAAGUCAGAUGUGAAAGGCUGGGGCUCAACCCCGGGACUGCAUUGGAAACUGUCGAACUAGAGUGCCGGAGGGGUAAGCGGAAUUCCUAGUGUAGCGGUGAAAUGCGUAGAUAUUAGGAGGAACACCAGUGGCGAAGGCGGCUUACUGGACGGUAACUGACGUUGAGGCU
Molecule: ribosomal RNA, 382 nt
Filed under: uncultured Ruminococcus sp.
Lineage: Bacteria; Bacillati; Bacillota; Clostridia; Eubacteriales; Oscillospiraceae
Description: bacterial SSU rRNA
Rfam family: Bacterial small subunit ribosomal RNA
Source: RNAcentral